RNAcentral lists this ribosomal RNA (497 nucleotides) under uncultured bacterium. RNAcentral's name for it is "partial 16S ribosomal RNA". It matches the Rfam family "Bacterial small subunit ribosomal RNA", at positions 28 to 507 of the family's 1533-position model. The record is from RNAcentral.
GAUGAACGCUGGCGGCGUGCCUAAUACAUGCAAUUCGAGCGAACAGACGAGGAGCUUGCUCCUCUGACGUUAGCGGCGGACGGGUGAGUAACACGUUGAUAACCUACCUAUAAGACUGGGAUAACUUCGGGAAACCGGAGCUAAUACCGGAUAAUAUAUUGAACCGCAUGGUUCAAUAGUGAAAGACGGUUUUGCUGUCACUUAUAGAUGGAUCCGCGCCGCAUUAGCUAGUUGGUAAGGUAACGGCUUACCAAGGCAACGAUGCGUAGCCGACCUGAGAGGGUGAUCGGCCACACUGGAACUGAGACACGGUCCAGACUCCUACGAGAGGCAGCAGUAGGGAAUCUUCCGCAAUGGGCGAAAGCCUGACGGAGCAACGCCGCGUGAGUGAUGAAGGGCUUCGGAUCGUAAAACUCUGUUAUUAGGGAAGAACAAAUGUGUAAGUAACUAUGCACGUCUUGACGGUACCUAAUCAGAAAGCCACGGCUAACUACGUG